GACGUAGGGCGCGAGCGUUGUCCGGAUUUAUUGGGCGUAAAGAGCUCGUAGGCGGUCUGUCGCGUCGGAUGUGAAAGCCCGGGGCUUAACCCCGGGUCUGCAUUCGAUACGGGCAGACUAGAGUGUGGUAGGGGAGAUCGGAAUUCCUGGUGUAGCGGUGAAAUGCGCAGAUAUCAGGAGGAACACCGGUGGCGAAGGCGGAUCUCUGGGCCAUUACUGACGCUGAGGAGCGAAAGCGUGGGGAGCGAACAGG
This 253-nucleotide ribosomal RNA is filed under the name uncultured bacterium. RNAcentral describes it as "partial 16S ribosomal RNA". It matches the Rfam family "Bacterial small subunit ribosomal RNA", at positions 524 to 776 of the family's 1533-position model. The record is from RNAcentral.